Molecule: non-coding RNA, 27 nt
Filed under: Cricetulus griseus (Chinese hamster)
Lineage: Eukaryota; Metazoa; Chordata; Mammalia; Rodentia; Cricetidae
Source: RNAcentral
GUUGGGCCGGCACUGUCAGACCGAGAC